AGUUAAUGAACUUGAAUAAGUAUAUGUUUUGAAAACAUAUUAUAGAAAUAAUAUUUUCUAUUAACUU
This 67-nucleotide transfer RNA is filed under the name Helina impuncta. RNAcentral describes it as "tRNA-Ser". Lineage: Eukaryota; Metazoa; Arthropoda; Insecta; Diptera; Muscidae. The record is from RNAcentral.